Molecule: long non-coding RNA, 1597 nt
Organism: Haemorhous mexicanus (house finch)
Lineage: Eukaryota; Metazoa; Chordata; Aves; Passeriformes; Fringillidae
Exons: 3
Source: RefSeq, a predicted model, not a curated record
GUGCGUGUGAAGGUGAUGGUAUUGUAGUUUGCUCUUGUUUUUGCUUUGUUUUUAAUCUUUUCUGUUCGGUUGCACCUCUAGUACCUUUAAUGAGUGUGUCCUACGCAUGGAGAAGCCCAGCUGGAGAUGUGCUCCCUCAAUGAGUUGUGUAAUGGGAAGGGGCUGCUGUCAGCCCAGAGCAGAGGCUCCUGUUCCGCUGUGGGUUCAGGAGAAGUGGGAGCACCUCGGUGGAAACCUCUGUACAGGGUUUGUACACUGCAUGUGUGUUUGGUGGGAGAGCACAGUCGGUGUUCUGUAAGAGGCAGGGGAGAAUGUCCCUGCCUAGCAAUCGAAAUGCAGCCUGGGAACCAUGCAAACCUGGUGCCUGUGACACAUCAUGGAAGGGUAAGAGUCUUGUGAGUUCAUUCAUAGCUAUUCUUACAUCAAAUUCUCUUAAUUGCAGUGCCAUGAAUGAAGGCAGAGAUCCCAGUUCAUUGCUGGCACAAGAAGAGUCAAUGGCACUGAUUUAAGCCAGGUUACACCUUUUACAAUGUUCAUGUCAGCAGUGGUUUGGGCCCUUUUGCUUCUACUUAGAGUGAGUCAAAAGCAGGGUGAAAUGUAGGAAUAUUUGUGUUGGCUUCAAAACAUGAUUGAAGAUAAAUUGCUGUUAAGCUCCAUUUCUGUCUAGCUGUUGAUACAUGUAAUAUGGCAAAUUAAUUAAGAGCUUAUACUCACAAUAUAUGGGGAUUUCAAUUGUUUUAAAGUGGUUGUUAGUCUAUCAGCAGCUAGAGGAUACACACGCCUGAGUUAUUCUAGUAGAUCAGUGCUUCCAGAAGCAUAUGUUUGGUUUACCACACUUGCAGUUUCUUCCUGUCAAUCACCUUUUGUGCAUUUUUAAUGUGCGUUGAACUAACCAAAACUGUCCUUUGCCCAUUUUAUGAGUGUCAUGCAAAGCAGGGAAUGAAGUGGGUUGAUGACAGCUCAUCCAUCUCACUGUUUUUGAAAGGGAUUCUCCUACUGGACAUCAUGCAGAGCAGUGCUUUUUGAAGCCCACCCACCUAGUACUAGUCCCCCUUCAGACGUGAUUGUAUUUCCCUAAGGCACUUCUUGGAGUGGUGAAUGUGUAUCAUCAAACUGAAGAUUUUUUAAUGGAAUGUUAAAGAAAAUUGGGAAGAAAAUAGUGGCAGUGGGAUUCCAUUCCUUGCUGGAGGUAGAUACCAGAAAGGGUUAAAAGUGCCUGGUCUUGACUCAGUCAACACUGGAAUUUUCUUGUAGUUUUCAUUCCCAUUCUCUUCAUCAAGGUAUGUGAUAUAUUAUUUGGGUCCAGUUUUGCUAACUGGAUUGCAGGUGGGGGAUUCUGGGUGGAAGCUGUUCCUGGCCCAGCUGUCCCUGUAGCUCUAAUGUUGCAAUAUUUUCUCUCUGCAGAGCAAGACCAGAGACAGGGACAUGCCUAGGAAUACACAUCCAGCUUCUCAUCAGAAAAAGAAAAAAGGAGACUGUGAAAAAUAGAAAAAAUGCCAUAACAUUUUUCUCCAGAAUGGAUAAUAUGGGAGUUAGCUUCCUUUUUCAUUCUGAUGUAAGGAAAAAAAAAAAAACAACCCAGGCUUUCAGUCAAAUU